RNAcentral lists this ribosomal RNA (589 nucleotides) under uncultured Mortierella. Its description in RNAcentral is "eukaryotic LSU rRNA". The stretch from base 160 to 313 matches the Rfam family "5.8S ribosomal RNA". Lineage: Eukaryota; Fungi; Mortierellomycota; Mortierellomycetes; Mortierellales; Mortierellaceae. The record is from RNAcentral.
CAUUCAUAAUAAGUGUUCUACUGCACUUUUUAAACAAGUACUCACCUUGUGUGCAAUGUUUGCUGGCGUGUCGUUCAUUUCGUCGCGUCGGCAUAAUACCAACCUUUUUUAUUUUAAUCUUUUGUCUUAAGCUAUUUUGAAUAACAUAAUUCUUAAUACAACUUUCAACAACGGAUCUCUUGGCUCUCGCAUCGAUGAAGAACGCAGCGAAAUGCGAUACGUAAUGUGAAUUGCAGAAUUCAGUGAAUCAUCGAAUCUUUGAACGCACAUUGCACUCUCUGGUAUUCCGGAGAGUAUGCUUGUUUGAGUAUCUGUAAACAUCUCAACCCUCAAGGCGCUUGCGUCGGGAGGAUUGGACUUGAGCGAUCCCGACUCUUUCUCACGAAAGAGGAGGGUCGCUUGAAAUGCAGGUGCAGCAGGACAUUCUUCUGAGCUAAAAGCAUAUCUAUUUAGUCCCGUCAAACGGAUUAUUACUUUUGCUUCAGCUAACAUAAAGGUCGAAUGCGCCACAAUCGCUGAUUGCAGGAAAACUCGUUCGCAAGAACUUGUAAACUCGAUCUCAAAUCAAGUAAGACUACCCGCUGAACUU